UAAAAGAAUAUUAUUAAUGUUCAACGGACUUGUUUCUCUUUUAUGCAGCAAAACUCAUGCGAAUUAUCUGCCAAACCCAAAUUCUCAAAGCCUUUCAACCCAUUGCAACACAAAGGUCGUGUUUCAGGACCACCGGUGUUCUGGCUGUGACAAACCUACCCAUCAAGAGAUGGAGAGCUUGAGUCAGGCCAGGUUGCUUAGAAAGCAAAGUGCAGGUUCUAGAAAAGCACAUGACCAUCCCAGUAGUCAGAAGGAACCACCAGACGUGUCAGAUGUACCAAGAAGGUCUGCAACAUGACAAGACCCUCUUACCUGUGAGUGAGACCACUGCUCCUCGGCACCCCACCAUCAUCACCAUGAGUGGAGACCCCAGAACUGUGUGCAUGCCUGACAAGACUGUCAACUCUCCCUCCCCAUUCCUACCCUCAGCACUCAAAACCUCACCACUGUCAUCUGCUUGAUACUUUGGGAAUUUUUCUCAUUUUCCCAGGACAUCUAGAACAUCCUUGACCCACAACUCUGCCUUCCCCAGGAUUCUCUGGACAGUGAGCCAGUCACAACUGCCUCUUCUCCCUAUCUCCCUUCCCUGCUUAAUUCUUCUCUACAGCAUUUAACACUAUCAAACAGGCUAUAUUUAACUGACAUAUUUGUUUUGUCUCUCUUGACUAGAACAGAAACAACAUGAAGACAAGGGAUUUCUGUUGUAUUCUGCAGUCCCUAGAUUGUUGCCUGUUUCAUAUUAGACACGCAAUC
Molecule: long non-coding RNA, 753 nt
Filed under: Dasypus novemcinctus (nine-banded armadillo)
Lineage: Eukaryota; Metazoa; Chordata; Mammalia; Cingulata; Dasypodidae
Description: lncRNA (ENSDNOG00000050458.1)
Source: RNAcentral